CGAGACAAGACUUCCUCUGUCAAGGCAUGACUCAUGCAAAUGUCAGUGGAUUUAUGUUAGGUCUUUUAAGCUGAAAUUCUCAAGGUGCAUCUUUCAGCCAAGCUACUAAUACAGUUUGGUACUUUCCUAGCUGUUGCAAUUAUUCGUCCUGAUUGUUCAUUAGCAAAACCCUAGGUCUCCUGAAUUAUUCAUAUCUCAAGAACAACCACAAAAAUGUAUUCUGAUCGGAGACAAGGGUCUUGGCCCCGCCAAGAAUGAAGUAUUGGCCCUGUCCUAGUCCCAUGCAAAUGAGAGUCAUGCAGACCAUUGUUUUUUAAUGUACUGAUACUACACGUCACUAGAAUCCACAUAUAUAAAUACCUUCCAGUUAUCCAGAUCAUCUGGAAACGAGGCGUCAAGGAAAUCUCAACCAUCUUGAACAUUCCGUUUUUCCUGGUGUAUAAGAUAGAAUCUAAAGAUGAAAGUGGUAUUUCUGAUCACUUUCCUUUUGGUCACGGCUCACUGCACACCAGUACAAGAAUUUUAUCCUGGAAUUCACCAGGAUUACUUCUUAAACUGGCAGAGGAUACAUCACAGAAUGAGGCCAUAUCAACGAUUCCUGUAUCACACGGUUUAGGAGUAUACCUUAGCUCUGCUGCUACCCACGGCUCACACUCAAGCGUAACAACCUCAGUGAUGUACACUGUGGUCAUACCCAUGCUGAACCCCUUCAUCUACAGUCUGAGAAAUAAAGACUUAAAGAGAGGUCUGAAAAUACCCUUUGGAAAGGUGACUCUAAAAGGGCCUAUUUAUCCUAGGACUUAUGAAGCAUCCUGGGUAGCAGAGCGCAACACAAGAGCCAAAUGUUGCCACUCUUCAAUGAGACUAUGAACAUAGAACAUGCCUCUUUCAUUUUUUGGUGUGUGUGUGGGGGGGGGUGGAAUUCUAUUUUGAUUUCAAAUUCUCUAUACAAUGUAUGUAACUCUAUUUUAUGUUUUGUAAUAUCUCUCAUAACCAAGAUUUUUCCUUUUUUCAUUUUUCAACUCUUAUCAUUGUAUUCCCAAACUUGUUUGUGAAAUAUUUGGAAAUUCCCACUUAUCCCAAGGGACUGCAUGGAUCCCUUCAAGGAUAAUUUCUUCUCAAAUAAAAUAGAUCAUAUGGAGUAAAAAAUAAAUAAAUAAAUAAAUAAAUAAAAUC
This 1176-nucleotide long non-coding RNA is filed under the name Capra hircus (goat). RNAcentral's name for it is "lncRNA (ENSCHIG00000007467.1)". Lineage: Eukaryota; Metazoa; Chordata; Mammalia; Artiodactyla; Bovidae. The record is from RNAcentral.